GUGGGGAAUAUUGGGCAAUGGGGGAAACCCUGACCCAGCGACGCCGCGUGGGUGAAGAAAUCCUUCGGGAUGUAAAGCCCUGUUGUAUGGGAAGAGCAGAAGACGGUACCAUACGAGGAAGCCCCGGCAAACUACGUGCCAGCAGCCGCGGUAAUACGUAGGGGGCAAGCGUUGUCCGGCAUUACUGGGCGUAAAGCGCACGCAGGCUGAAUUAUAAGUCGGUAGUCAAAUACGGAGGCUCAACUUCCGGAUAUCUAUCGAUACUGUAAAUCUAGAGUAUGUGAGAGGGAAGCGGAAUUCCCGGUGUAGCGGUGAAAUGCGGAGAUAUCGGGAGGAACACCAGUGGCGAAGGCGGCUUCCUGGCACAAUACUGACGCUCAUGUGCGAAAGCUAGGGCAGCGAACGGGAUUAGAUACCCUAGUAGUCC
RNAcentral lists this ribosomal RNA (427 nucleotides) under uncultured bacterium. RNAcentral describes it as "partial 16S ribosomal RNA". It matches the Rfam family "Bacterial small subunit ribosomal RNA", at positions 354 to 796 of the family's 1533-position model. The record is from RNAcentral.